ACGGGAUUGGGGAAACGGUUACCUCGAUCGGCUAGGAACCGAAUGGUUGCGGUUCGAAUCCGCAUCCCGAA
This 71-nucleotide transfer RNA is filed under the name Ginkgo biloba (maidenhair tree). Its description in RNAcentral is "tRNA-Pro". It matches the Rfam family "tRNA". Rfam says of the family: Transfer RNA (tRNA) molecules are approximately 80 nucleotides in length. The record is from RNAcentral. Lineage: Eukaryota; Viridiplantae; Streptophyta; Ginkgoopsida; Ginkgoales; Ginkgoaceae.